UGGAGGCAGCAGUGGGGAAUUUUGCGCAAUGGGGGAAACCCUUACGCAGCAACGCCGCGUGGAGGAUGAAGUCCCUUGGGACGUAAACUCCUUUCGAUCGGGAAGAUUAUGACGGUACCGGAAGAAGAAGCCCCGGCUAACUCCGUGCCAGCAGCCGCGGUAAUACGAGGGGGGCAAGCGUUGUUCGGAAUUAUUGGGCGUAAAGGGCGCGUAGGCGGUGUCGCAAGUCGGUAGUGAAAUCUCCAGGCUCAACUUGGAGUCUGCUGCCGAAACUGCGGUGCUGGAGUGUGGGAUAGGUGAGUGGGAUUCCCGGUGUAGCGGUGAAAUGCGUAGAUAUCGGGAGGAACACCUGUGGCGAAAGCGGCUCACUGGACCACAACUGACGCUGAGGCGCGAAAGCUAGGGGAGCAAACAGGAUUAGAUACCCCCGUAGUCCC
Molecule: ribosomal RNA, 437 nt
Filed under: uncultured bacterium
Lineage: Bacteria
Description: bacterial SSU rRNA
Rfam family: Bacterial small subunit ribosomal RNA
Source: RNAcentral